RNAcentral lists this long non-coding RNA (302 nucleotides) under Capsella rubella. RNAcentral describes it as "long non-coding RNA (CRUB_LNC004850)". The record is from RNAcentral. Lineage: Eukaryota; Viridiplantae; Streptophyta; Magnoliopsida; Brassicales; Brassicaceae.
AUUUAAAUAGCAAAAGUAAGUUUCAAAUUACUUAAAUAUUUCAAAUAUCGGGACAAGAAAUAACGAAUACAGAAAGAGAACGAGUAAUUUAAUUAGUUAAAUACAAGCUAUAUAAUGUUGGUUUUUUUAAAAAAUGUAAAUUAUUUCAUUUAUAUAUAAAAAAAUAUGAUAUUAUCUUAGAGAGAACGAACUGGAACAAAAAGGGAAUGGGUAAUUCAAAAAAAAAAUAUAUCUAAACUAUUUCUCAUCAAAAACAAGCCUAUAUAAAAAAUUUGGAAACUUAAAUUUAAUUUUAACUUUCA